AUUGAACGCUGGAGGCAUGCCUUACACAUGCAAGUCGAACGGUAACGCGGGGGCAACCCUGGCGACGAGUGGCGAACGGGUGAGUAAUACAUCGGAACGUACCUGGUAGUGGGGGAUAGCCCGGCGAAAGCCGGAUUAAUACCGCAUACGCACCACGGUGGAAAGCGGGGGACCGCAAGGCCUCGCGCUAUCAGAGCGGCCGAUGGCAGAUUAGCUAGUUGGUGGGGUAAAAGCCUACCAAGGCGACGAUCUGUAGCUGGUCUGAGAGGACGACCGGCCACACUGGGACUGAGACACGGCCCAGACUCCUACGGGAGGCAGCAGUGGGGAAUUUUGGACAAUGGGGGAAACCCUGAUCCAGCGAUGCCGCGUGUGUGAAGAAGGCCUUCGGGUUGUAAAGCACUUUUGUUCGGGAAGAAAUCUGUCGGGCUAAUACCCUGGCGGGAUGACGGUACCGGAAGAAUAAGCACCGGCUAACUACGUGCCAGCAGCCGCCGUAA
RNAcentral lists this ribosomal RNA (500 nucleotides) under uncultured bacterium. Its description in RNAcentral is "partial 16S ribosomal RNA". It matches the Rfam family "Bacterial small subunit ribosomal RNA", at positions 29 to 523 of the family's 1533-position model. The record is from RNAcentral.